AAUAAAUGGAAGGUAGAAUUUAUAAUUGGAAGAGAAGCAAAACUUAAAGAUUUGGAAAAUCCUCAAUGUGGCUGUGUUCUAAAGCCUGAAAAAGCAGCCCAGGAGAAAACACCAGGCUGUGGUAAGUAAUUGUUUGACAAGGAGAUAUGAUUGAGUCAAUUUUUUUUUUUUUGCUGCUGUGAUAAAAGGAUGGAACCAGAACAACUGUUAGAGGAGAAAAGGUUUAUUUAGGGGCUCACAGUUUCAGAGGUCUCAAUCCAUAGGCAGCAGGCUCAAUUCCUCAGGGCUCGAAGUGAGACAGAACAUCACAGUAAAAGAGUGUGGCAGAGGGAACCAGCUCAUAUGAUAAUCAGGAAGCAGAAAGAGACUCUACUCUCCAAAUACAAAAUAUAUACGCCAUAAUCAUGCCCCCAAUGAACCACUUCUUCCAUCCACACCCCACCUGCCUCCAGUUACCACUCAGUUAAUCCCAUAAAGGAUUAAUUUACUGAUUAAGUUAAGGCUAUAACCCAAUCAUUUCUCCUCCAAACCUUCUUGCGUUUUCUCACACGUGGCUUUGGGGGUCAUCUCACAUCCAAACCAUAAGAGUAUAGUUAUGCAGACACCAGGUGCUAUCUACCCUGACAAUGGAUUAAUGCUGUCCCUCUCAUCACAGGUCCAGAAUGCUAAGGCCUAGGGACAGAAGAUGUCAAAAGAGGGCCCUCAGGUAUUCCUGGAACCUUGGUGCCAGGACAUCUCAAGUCUCCCAUUUCCUCUAUUCUGGUGCAGUGCUCCUCAGCAAUCAGGUGUGGUUUAAGUGGGCUAAGGUUUGAGUUGGUCACCCCUCUGGUAAGCACAGAUGAUAAACAUUGUUGAUGCCCAUGAAGUACCACCUUCAUCAAGGUGCCGAGUACAUGAGCUUUGACAGCAUGGUUACCUGCACCUGGAUUUCAAAGGAUGCCCCAGAGAACCUCAGCCCAGGCAGAGAACUGCCACAGGGGCAGAAUUAUCACAGACAGCUCUCAGGUCAAUGUCCAGUGGAGCUAUAAGGGUGAGAGCUACCAUACAGAGUGAUGCCUAGCAGAGCUGUGGGGACAGGGCUCACCUCUAUGACUGUAGACCGGUAAGCCAUCGAGAAGCAGUUCCAGUCUGGGAGAGCCACAGUCGAAAGACCCAGUAUUGUAGAGCUGCUCUGUGGGUUUCUCUCAGCAAAGCCAUGAGGGCAGUGUGUGUGGAAUGUGGAACAAUGAGGCAAGAUUAUCCUGGAGCUGUAAGAUUUAAUGUUUGCCCUAUUAUAUUUGGGGUUUAGUUGGAACCUAUUAUCUCUUCUUUCUUACUUCCUUUUGGAAAGGAAAUCCCUGCCCUGUGCCUGUUCUACCAUUAUAUUGGAAACACAUAACUAGUUUGACUUCAGAGUCCCAAUGAUGAAGGGGCAUUUGCUUCAGGAUGAAUCAUACUUUUAAGUCUUAUAUCUAUCCAAUUUAGAUGAGACUUUAGAUUUUGAGUUGGUGCUGGAACUUUUGAGUUAGCUUUGGGGAUACAGGAAUGGAAUGAAUGUAUUUUGCAUGUGAGGACACAAAUUUGGAGAAGUCAAGGGAAAAAUUCUAUGAUAUGAAAGUGGGCAUCCCCUUAAAAUUCAUAUGUUGAAGCCUGACCCCCAGGAUGAUGAUACUGAGGGGUAAAGCCUCUAAAGGGAAUGAUGGGAUUAGUGCCUUAUAAGAGGAUAAAGGGAGCUGCUUUGCUCUUCCACCACGUGGUAGCAAUAUGAUGCCAUUUAUUAAACACACAGCAAGUUCUUAUCAGACAUCAAAUGAAGAAAGAAAAGCAUCAAGCUGCUGAAGAGAAUAGAAUUUCUUUUCCCUGAUUAGUAAUUUUAUCUGUCACAGGUGAACUUUUGUUCUCUUUUAAUCUUUGUUUCCUGCCUUCUCGUGUUGCUUGGUAGUUCUUAACUAUCCUUCCUCCUAACAAGUCACAUUCUCCCAGUAUUAUAGACUUGAUCCCCUGCAUCUUGGGAAUCUGCAGGUCUGGCACCAGCUGAACUCCCUUGUUUUUAUAUUCAGCUUGUAAUAAGGCUGCUUCCAUGUUGUUGAGGGUUUCUUUCCCAAUAACUUCAAUGUUAAUCCUGUGCGAGGCAGUCAGAUUCUUGUUGCUUGUCCUCUGCUGAUUUGGAUCCUUUGUUGUGUUGAUACCCUUCCAUGGGCAGAGUCCCGCCUGGUGGUGCAAAGAAGUGGGAAAUUUUAGAAAAUCUAUUCUAUUGGAUGUUGAACAGUCUCCUGUCUUCAUAAAAAUUCAGUUUGGCUUUUGUGUUUUCUUAUUCAUACUCUCAGAAAUUUCGUUCUAUUUUUUCUUUUACAUGUCUCACUCAUUCUUUCAUUCAUCAAAUAUUUAAUGACCACUAAAUGCAAGGUGCUAUUCUGGAAUGCAGAAAUACAGACGUGAACAAGGUAUAAUUUUUGCCCUUGAGGCAGUUAUAAUCUAUAGUAGUUUGGUCCAACAGCACAUUCUCUGAUGGUAGAAGUCGUCUAUAUACAUAUUGCCCAAUAUGCUUGCUAUACAUAGCUACUGGACAUUUAAAAUGUGGUUAGUAUAAGUGAGGAACCAAGUUUUAAAUUUUAUUUAUUUUUAAUUAAUUGAAUUUAGCCACAUGUAGCUAGUGGCUAUUGGAUGGAGCAUAAAAGGGAGAGACAAAUAAAGAAGAUUUUUACAAUAUUAUAUGUUACAUUUUAAAUAAAAUGGUUGGUUUUACCAUUAAAUAGAUUUGGGGUUAGUUAGAAAGACCGAGGUAUUAAUCUCUACCUAUGUAAACUAGUUGGAAUCCUAUUGAGAAGAAGGCCACAGAAAUGGAAUACAAGAAAAGUAGGAAAAUGUCACAUAGAUGAAGCAUGGUGAGAGGAGGCAAGGAGAAGAAUUGAGGGCCUUGGAUGUUGGAAACUUGCAUAAAUCAUUGGAAAUAUUAAUUGAUGUGUCUUCAUCCCCCACUUCCCACCCUUACAUUUUGACAUUUCCAUUUUUCUUUGUUGUUGUUCUUCCACCCAAAGGAGGCCAGUCAAUGUCCUUUGCCUCAGAAGAAGUUGGCAAGUCAAAAAGAGAAAAACGAAAGAAUCUUUUCCCAGCCUUUGAGUUACAGAAAAUCUAAUGGCCAAUAUGCAUUCCACAAGUCACAAAUAAGUGUGGAUUAUUUGGUUAACACCUUAUUGUUAGUGGGUUUUUUUUUUUUUUUUUUUUUUUUCAAAUUGAGGUCUUGCUGUGUUGCUUAAGCUCUCCUUGAACUUCUGGACUCAAACAAUCCUCCUGCCUCAGCCUCCUCAGUAGCUUCAACUACAGGUAUGUAACCACACCCUGCAGUGCUAUUUUUUUUUUUUAAUGCAAUUCAUUUGAAUGCCUUUAGACUGGGAAGGUACUCUUUAGUUCAUACUAGUCCUGUAUUUCAUUCGUCCCUGGAAGCUAGAGAUGUAGAGAUUUACUUUACAAGCCUGGCCCCUAUAGGUAUGUGAAUUUGGUGUUCCUUAUAAAGCAGGUUUAGAAGAAGGCAUAAUGAUGCAUGAGCAGGGUUUCCUAGCACCAAGUCUUUCAGCAUUGUAGAAGAGAAGUUGCAGGAAAAUUACUUGGACUUUGGGGAAAACAAGGUACCCUGCUUUAAAUUUUGUUGUUACAUCUGUCACCCAGAGGAAUGAGGACUUAAGACAGAAGUUAUUUUGAAUCUAGAAAAACAGAAAAAAUUACAUUUUGUGCACACAUGGAUUUGUGGACUAUAAUUUAAUUUCUCUUUUCCAUUAUUUAUCCUGUCAAACUAUAAGUAUCAGGAUGCAACUGAGUGGUAGUACUUAAAAAUUCAUUUUUAAGAAUGCAAAUAUUCCUUUUUCAAUUAUAUUAAUAGAAUUUAUUUAGUUCAUUAUUUCCCAGAGCUUAAAUAAAAUUCAUGUGAAGUAAUUCAAAAAGGAAAGACAAAAUUUUCAACCUACUAUAUUCUUCUCCAUGGAUACAAUGCUCACUAAUCAAGGGUGACCCCCAUCUUGGAUGCAAAACUAAGAAUGGGCUCUAUCAAUUGAACAUGGUGCUUUAGCAUAAUGCCUUAAGGGGAUGAUGCUGAAGAGUGGUUAUGGUAAGCAAUUUAAAUUAACCAUGAAAACAAAUUUAUAUUGAAUCAAUACAUUAUACAGAAGUUUUGAGGAAAAGAAUAAUAGCCAAAAGAAUGUGAAUGAAUUAUGGGUUCCUAAUGAUCUCAUGUUUUUGGGGAAAAGGAAACAGCAGAUAUUGAGGCUUAUAGGAGGGAUUAACUCAGAAUGGAAAAUACCUACAAAGCACUGAAAUGUUGCUAAGGAUUCAAGAUUUUUUUUUUAAUAUUAUAUCUUACAUCUUCCUAACAUGAAUGAAAGACCAAGAAGUUUGAAUUAAUGCCACCUUCUCUUAAGAACUUCCACAAUAUUGAAGUAAAAUAUUCAUAAUAUUCUAUUUAUUCAAAAUUAUUCCAAUGACCAAGAGUUUAUGUUUAUGUAAAAUUGUUAGUAAUACUGUUGUUGAUAGGGGAUCGGGUGGAAGGAGUGUUUCCUUUGCAUAAAAUCACUUUUUUAAGGUUCAUAAAGGCAUUUUUCCCCGUUGACCAUCUCCUACUUCCAGUGACCCACUUUCUACAGUAGAAAAUUAGAAGUCAAGGCUCCUGUUUCUUUUCCUGCCCUAUCAGAGUCAGUUGAUUUUCUGUAGAAGUUUUUCUGCUUGUAAAUCUAAACCUCAAAGCCUUUAGUUUGCAUUUCACCUAAAAUAAAAUCAAUGACCCUUUGGAGAAUCAAGCUUUAAUGAGGGGACACCUAUUACUAUAAUUUCUUUGAAGAUAUUGUUGAAAAAUGGUGCCCACAUGUGUUUAAGUAUGAUAGGCGAAAUUUCCCUUUUGGAAAGACCUCACUUUUUCUUUUCUUCUAAGGAACAGAUAACUUUUCCUUUGAGAGCAAUUAGAACAACAGAAGGAUGACUGCCCUGUUUCCUUUAACUAUCCAUCCUUUAGUGCCAAACUUACAGUCCACCAAAUGGUCUUCUUUUCAUGUUCCAAGUUUUCUUUGAUCUGUGUCUGUGAUUCUAGUUCAUAUGUCCCCAGGUUCUACUUUAUGUUUAUUUUACUCUUCAUCUGUUAUCUGUAAGCAAGUUUAAAUCCUUUGUGAAAUGACAUAUAGAGGGAGGGAGGUAGAACAGAGGGAAAAUGAAAGGCAGAAAAUAAAAGGAGGAAAGAACUAAAAUUUUCUUUAUAAUGGAGUAGAGUUUGAAAUGACUGAUCAAAUAUAUAUUGAAGUCUCUUUUACCAAAUACAACAUUGGCAUUUAUCACUCUACUGGAAAGGCAUAAAAGAAGAGAAAAGCAUGUGAAGUUUUAUUUCCCUUAAAAAGAACAUAUAAUGGAAAUUCUGCAAAAAGCUGGAAAUCUAGCAGUAGCAGGUGUGGAUUACAGACUAAAGAAACUACUACUGCCAUCGUAAUAGGUGGUCUGUUUAUGUAACUACCCCAGACGGGCAUGGGGCUGGAAAGCUUGAGUGUUUUCCUGUUUUCGCUUUUCUAAGCUCUUUAACAGAAAUUACCCUCCCCUGCUCACAUCCUAACAAAGACCUUGUGAAACAGGUCACAUGAACAGAUGUUAUUUCAACUGAUGAAUUAAAGCUCAAUUUACUCAAAACCACAAAAUUAAGAUUUACUGGCAUUACAAUAAAUAAGGCAGAAGGUGGUAGUGUCAGAUCUAGCUUGAAUUUCCAGUUCUAGCAACUACUUAUGAGUUUCAGAGCAUGUUACUUAACCUGCAUCUUCAUUUGUAAAAUUAGAAUAAAACAAUGUUUCCCUCUCCCUCUUCCUAAAGUUCUGUGUAUUUUGCACCACAUCUCUAGAAGUUUAACUUUGUCAGACCUGACAUCAGCCUCGAGUUGGCCUUUCCUUGGAACUUACAUCUCCAGCUUGGUCUUCUUUACCACUGCAGGGCAAGAAACUCCACUUGGCCUCCACUUGCCUGC
This 5965-nucleotide long non-coding RNA is filed under the name Marmota monax (woodchuck). The record is from RNAcentral. Lineage: Eukaryota; Metazoa; Chordata; Mammalia; Rodentia; Sciuridae.